This 148-nucleotide non-coding RNA is filed under the name Otolemur garnettii (small-eared galago). The record is from Rfam by way of RNAcentral. Lineage: Eukaryota; Metazoa; Chordata; Mammalia; Primates; Galagidae.
GCUGGGCAUAGCAGUGUGUGCCUGUAGUCCCAGCAUCUUGGGAGGCUGAGGCAGGAGGAUCACUUGAGCCCAAGAGUUCAAGGUUGCAGUGGGUUAUGAUCAGUCCACUGUACUCUAGCCUGGGCUACACAGUGUGACCCUAUCUCUU